RNAcentral lists this ribosomal RNA (331 nucleotides) under uncultured Enterococcaceae bacterium. Its description in RNAcentral is "bacterial SSU rRNA". It matches the Rfam family "Bacterial small subunit ribosomal RNA", at positions 50 to 359 of the family's 1533-position model. The record is from RNAcentral. Lineage: Bacteria; Bacillati; Bacillota; Bacilli; Lactobacillales; Enterococcaceae.
AAUACAUGCAAGUCGAACGCUUCUUUCCUCCCGAGUGCUUGCACUCAAUUGGAAAGAGGAGUGGCGGACGGGUGAGUAACACGUGGGUAACCUACCCAUCAGAGGGGGAUAACACUUGGAAACAGGUGCUAAUACCGCAUAACAGUUUAUGCCGCAUGGCAUAAGAGUGAAAGGCGCUUUCGGGUAUCGCUGAUGGAUGGACCCGCGGUGCAUUAGCUAGUUGGUGAGGUAACGGCUCACCAAGGCCACGAUGCAUAGCCGACCUGAGAGGAUGAUCAGUCACACUGGAACUGAGACACGGUCCAGACUCCUACGGGAGGCAGCAGAAGGG